Long non-coding RNA from Cornus florida, 243 nucleotides. RefSeq lists it as uncharacterized. The transcript has 2 exons. NCBI's taxonomy places the organism in Eukaryota, Viridiplantae, Streptophyta, Magnoliopsida, Cornales, Cornaceae. The record is from RefSeq and is a predicted model, not a curated record.
UUGUUGAGCUCGAGUCGGCUUCACGGUUGAGGACCGCACAGUUCUUAAUUACACAGAGGCCAUGGCUUGAUCUCUAUGGAGUUAAUAUCAGGCCUGUUGCUCCAUUUGGGAGUGCAAGUAAUAAACCAUUUGCACCGGUCCUUGCCCGAGGAGCUACUUUUUGAGGUAUUUCUAUAUUUUUAAUCUCAUUUUACUUAGUCAUUGUACUAUUACAACGAGAUAACAAACUCGGAUGAGUUGCUA